Molecule: ribosomal RNA, 465 nt
Filed under: uncultured bacterium
Lineage: Bacteria
Description: partial 16S ribosomal RNA
Rfam family: Bacterial small subunit ribosomal RNA
Source: RNAcentral
CUACGGGAGGCAGCAGUGGGGAAUAUUGCGCAAUGGGGGAAACCCUGACGCAGUGACGCCGUGUGAGUGAUGAAGGUUUUCGGAUCGUAAAGCUCUGUCAGACGGGAAGAAUAAGAACAGUAAAAAUAUUGCUGUUUGAUGACGGUACCGUCAGAGGAAGCACCGGCUAACUCCGUGCCAGCAGCCGCGGUAAUACGGAGGGUGCAAACGUUGUUCGGAAUUACUGGGCGUAAAGCGCAUGUAGGCGGAUAUGUAGGUCAGAUGUGAAAUCCCUUGGCUCAACCAAGGAAGUGCAUCUGAAACCCCAUACAUUGAGUACGAGAGAGGGAAGUGGAAUUCCCAGUGUAGAGGUGAAAUUCAUAGAUAUUGGGAAGAACACCGGUGGCGAAGGCGGCUUCCUGGCUCGUAACUGACGCUGAGAUGCGAAAGCGUGGGGAGCAAACAGGAUUAGAUACCCCCGUAGUC